Onthophagus taurus is the source of this 452-nucleotide non-coding RNA. The record is from RefSeq and is a predicted model, not a curated record. Lineage: Eukaryota; Metazoa; Arthropoda; Insecta; Coleoptera; Scarabaeidae.
UACAUCAUAUAGCAUACUCUGUCUAAUACGGAGAUUUUUCUUGUUUCUCAAAACCUGCUUGAUGAGUUUUCAUUUCAUUUUUAACAACGACGUAGUUCAACCAUUUUUAUAAACUGUAACGUGCUCGUCUUUAAUUUUAAAAAGUUUAAUUAAUUUUAUGGUACUUUUCGGAAUUAAGAAAUGUUCUACAACAUAAUCUGUCAAUCCUAUAAUUAUUUUUUGAUAAGAUGGAUGUAACUUCACAUUUUUAACGAAGUCUCUGAAGAUGCGUGUAAGGCGAAACAAGUCAGACGAAAAAUAAAAUUUUACAACCAGUUAAAGUACAUUGAAACUGUCUUUCAUUUUUGACCAUUUUCUUCACUGGUAACAUGGAUUUAAUCAAUUUUAACUCAUACAUAAUAAUGUGUAUAAUUAUGCAUUUUCAUGACGUCUAAUUAAAGUACUUGAAGCAC